UGAAAAUGGCCAAAAAUGCAUUUCAAUGGGGGCUCAAACGGGUGCUAAAUGGCAUUUUGCUUUCUCUCUCUUCACAUUCACUCCUUUUCUGUUUGUCUUGCUUUUUUCCAAGUUCCUUUCUGGACAAAUCAAACAAAACCAAGCUGCAAGAAGGACAACAAAGAUUGUAUUCCGGUGGUUCUAAUUGACGACUAGAGUAGUGCACUUUAUAUUAGGUAAAUUUUUCCAAUUGAACUGUCUAGGUUUUUGUUCAUAUGUUAAUAUAGCAUGUUUAUUUUGAUUAUUUAUUUAUGGUAACUUGUAAAAUUUGUAAUAGUUGCUGGUUCUCGAGCUUUGUUUGUAUAUUUUAUGAACGCACUUUUUCCUUUCUUUCUAAAAUAUAUUUUUAGUCAUUGUUGCGUAAUGUGGAUUUUAUUUUUAUUGCAUAUAUGUUUUAACAUAUGUAGAAUUAUUUCUUUCUAAUACUUUCAGAUUCUAUUGUUGAAGUUGGAGUGCAAAUAUUCUAUAGUAAUUGUUAGUGUUGAAUGAAUAUUUUUGAACCAUUUGUUAAUGGACAUGUUGAUUUAGUGAACCUUGAAGCUAUCUCUCAAACUAUUAGCGAGUCAUAUCAUGCCUUUAUUUGUCAACAACAUAAUCGAAGAGAAAGAGAUCGGUACAAUCAAGUACAAAUUGAGUGCAUUGAUUUUCGAAAGAGGAUAAAUAACCGUAUGCCAUCUUGGGAGAAUAGCUCAAGUCUUGUUGAAUUGUACGAAUUUACAGCACAUCAUGAUUUUGAAGCUUCAACGUCAAACCAAGUAAUAAUUAAUGGUCUCAAUCUUGAAUUAGAAAAAAGUUCAAACCUAUUGAAUGUAACAAGUACUUCAUAUAUAUUACCAACAAGUAUCGAUUAUAAAUAUUGUGGUGUACAUAAAAUUUUCAAAGAAAGUAAAGGAUUUUGCUGAUAUGAUGAAAAAGUUAAGCUUUUUGUGCUCAAAUCACCAACUUAGAUGUACGCUUUAUGUACUUCUAAAGAACAUGUGUAUGAAAUUUACAAAAAUUGCAAGGGUAUAUAAUAAUCAUUUUGCAUUCAUUUCGUUUGGUGUAAAGUAUGAUAAAGAACUUUUUAAAAUAUAUAGAGGUAUUUAUAUAUUCAUGGUGCAAGAACAAGUGUAUCAUUAUAUAAAUCAACUUAUGUCAGAGAAUAAUACAUCUUCUUAUAUGCAGUUAUAUUUUUAUGAUACACAUAAUAAGCUUCAAAAUCGUAUGAAAAUUUCAAAGAAUUUUGUUGAAUCUAUUUUGAUUAUUUUAAAGCAAAUUCUAACCGUAAAUCCAUAUAGUAGAUUCUUUAGAUCUUUAAGUAGUAUUCCUAACUUGCAACACCAUCGGACAUCUUAGAGUUGAUCAAAAAGUUUUUAAUGCUCCAACAGCAUCUCAAGUAGCUGUUGUAUGGGUCGAAGAUGAUAAAAAUGCAAAUAUACGUGUUCGUGAUAUUACUAUAUAUGGUCAUUUUGGUGAAUCACACAAAAUUCACUAUUACUAUGAUUGUUAUGAUCCUUUACAAUAUUCUUUGAUCUUUCCAUAUGGAGAAUCUGAUUGGCAGGAAGGUAUUGAGAGAUAUACCGGAUCAGAAACCGUCGAAUAGGAUAGUAGUUCGGCUCAAGUUCAUUAAUUGAACAAAUAAGCGAGUGUACACGACAAGAACCGGAUGAGCUGUUUAAGAACCGAUCGGUUCGGACAGUGCUUAAUGAAACGAAGAAACGAUCUCAAGUUUCUUGUCAAGAAUACCAUUUGUACAAAUUACAAAUCAGAUCCCAUGGUACGUUCGUGUUACUUUAUACAAGUAGACUAUUUCAACAAUAUAUUGUAGAUAUGUAUAUUAAGAUUAAAACUACUAUACUAGAUUAUUUUCGUAAUAAAAAAAAUCAUGCUAAACUUUAUCAGGACAUUGUAGAUAGUGUUGAAAGUGAAAAAACAAGGGAGUAUAAAGUUGGAAGAAAAUUUGUUCUACCACAAUCUUACAUGUGGUUCUAGAAAUUUGCUAAGGAGGUAUAUGUAUGCAAUGGCUAUUGUGCAACAUUACAGAAAACUAGAUGUAUUUUUUACUAUGACAUGUAAUUCUAAUUGGCCAGAAAUUAAGCAAGAACUAAAGCACAAUGAUGAAGUUCAAAAUCGACCUAAUCUAAUUGUGCGUAUCUUUAUAGCAAAAUUAGAGGAGUUGAAAAAUGAUUUAUAUAAAAAAAAACUACUAAGCCCUGUUAUUGCUUACAUAUAUAUGAUUGAAUUCCAAAAAAGAAGACAACCUCAUGCACAUCUAUUAUUAAAUUUUAAAUUUGGUCACAAAAUUUAUUGUGCUGAACAUGUUGAUAAGAUAGUUUCUCGUGAAAUUCUUGACAAAGAGAAAUAUUUUUGUCUUCAUUCUGUUAUUGUUAAACACAAUAUGCAUGGGUCUUGUGGAAACCUAAAUCCUAAAAAUAUCUAUAUGGAAUCAAAUAAAGGUUGUAAAAUAAAUAUUUGAAAGAUUAUUGUAAUAGUACUAUUUUUGGUGAUGACUUAUAGCCAUUGUAUAGGCGUCGUUAUAGUGGUAUUUUUUUUAAAGUUGAAGGUGAAAUGUUAGACAAUCAUUGGAUCGUACCAUAAAUCCUUAUUUAAGUGGUAAAUUUGAUUGUCAUAUUAAUGUUGAAGUACGUUCUUCUAUCAAAACUGUUAAAUAUCCCUACAAAAAUGUGUACAAAGGUCAUAAUUGUAUUAAUUUUUUGUAUAAAUACAAAUGAAACAAACAAACAAAUUAAUGAAAUUUCAGUUUAUCAAUAUACUAGAUGGAUAUCUCCACAUGAAACUUUGUGGAGGAUUUUUUUUUGUGAUUUGUCUGAUCUGUUUACUCUUUACAGCUUCAUACUGAGGAUCAUCAACAAUUAACGUAUGCCGAUAAAGAUGAUUUAUUUACAAUUAUUCAAAAAGAAAGUACAAGGAAAACUAUGUUAAUUGAAUUUUUUUAGAAUGAAUGAAACUAAUAAAUUUGCUCGUGCAUUAUUGUAUCGAGAUUUUUCAAAACAUUUUGUUCGGAAUGCAAAUAACAUUUGGACUCCUAGAAAAAAUCAUGUUGUUAUAAGACGAAUUGUUACACAACAAACCCAUCUGAACGAGAACGAUAUUUUCUUCGUAUUCUUCUUAAUCAUAUUACAGGAUCAGAAUGUUUCGAUCUUUUACAAAAUUUGAAUGGUGUAACGGCUCCUACAUAUCUUGAUCUAGCACUUCUACAUGGUUCGCUAGAUGGAGAUAAUCAUUGUCAAAAAUAUAUAUCUUAUACGAGAUGCUUACUGCUUUGAGGCGUCUUUUUAACGCUUUGUAAUCCUAAUCAUCCAAAACUCUUGUAGGAUAAGUUUAAAGUUUAUAUAAUUGAUGAUUAUGUACAUGAAAAUAUAUCUAUAGAGGUUGCUGAAUUACAAGCUUAAGAAGA
This is an RNA transcript of Olea europaea var. sylvestris, 3436 nucleotides long. RefSeq lists it as uncharacterized. The record is from RefSeq and is a predicted model, not a curated record. NCBI's taxonomy places the organism in Eukaryota, Viridiplantae, Streptophyta, Magnoliopsida, Lamiales, Oleaceae. The transcript is spliced from 3 exons.